RNAcentral lists this transfer RNA (78 nucleotides) under Bacillus atrophaeus UCMB-5137. RNAcentral's name for it is "tRNA-Met". It matches the Rfam family "tRNA". Rfam says of the family: Transfer RNA (tRNA) molecules are approximately 80 nucleotides in length. Their secondary structure includes four short double-helical elements and three loops (D, anti-codon, and T loops). Further hydrogen bonds mediate the characteristic L-shaped molecular structure. tRNAs have two regions of fundamental functional importance: the anti-codon, which is responsible for specific mRNA codon recognition, and the 3' end, to which the tRNAs corresponding amino acid is attached (by aminoacyl-tRNA synthetases). tRNAs cope with the degeneracy of the genetic code in two manners: having more than one tRNA (with a specific anti-codon) for a particular amino acid; and 'wobble' base-pairing, i.e. permitting non-standard base-pairing at the 3rd anti-codon position. Lineage: Bacteria; Bacillati; Bacillota; Bacilli; Caryophanales; Bacillaceae. The record is from RNAcentral.
CGCGGGGUGGAGCAGUUCGGUAGCUCGUCGGGCUCAUAACCCGAAGGUCGCAGGUUCAAAUCCUGCCCCCGCAACCAA